This 253-nucleotide ribosomal RNA is filed under the name uncultured bacterium. RNAcentral's name for it is "partial 16S ribosomal RNA". It matches the Rfam family "Bacterial small subunit ribosomal RNA", at positions 524 to 776 of the family's 1533-position model. The record is from RNAcentral.
UACGUAGGGUGCGAGCGUUAAUCGGAAUUACUGGGCGUAAAGCGUGCGCAGGCGGUUUUGUAAGACAGAUGUGAAAUCCCCGGGCUUAACCUGGGACCUGCAUUUGUGACUGCAAGACUAGAGUGCGGCAGAGGGGGGUAGAAUUCCACGUGUAGCAGUGAAAUGCGUAGAUAUGUGGAGGAAUACCGAUGGCGAAGGCAGCAAACUGGAACGUUUCUGACGCUGAAACGCGAAAGCGUAGGUAGCGAAUGGG